ACGCACGCUGGCGGCGUGCUUCACACAUGCAAGUCGAACGGAAAGGCCCUGCUUGCAGGGUACUCGAGUGGCGAACGGGUGAGUAACACGUGGGUGAUCUGCCCUGCACUUCGGGAUAAGCCUGGGAAACUGGGUCUAAUACCGGAUAGGAGCCAUUUUUAGUGUGAUGGUUGGAAAGUUUUUUCGGUGUAGGAUGAGCUCGCGGCCUAUCAGCUUGUUGGUGGGGUAAUGGCCUACCAAGGCGGCGACGGGUAGCCGGCCUGAGAGGGUGGACGGCCACAUUGGGACUGAGAUACGGCCCAGACUCCUACGGGAGGCAGCAGUGGGGAAUAUUGCACAAUGGGCGCAAGCCUGAUGCAGCGACGCCGCGUGGGGGAUGACGGCCUUCGGGUUGUAAACUCCUUUCGCUAGGGACGAAGCUUUUUGUGACGGUACCUAGAGAAGAAGCACCGGCUAACUACGUG
Molecule: ribosomal RNA, 464 nt
Filed under: uncultured bacterium
Lineage: Bacteria
Description: partial 16S ribosomal RNA
Rfam family: Bacterial small subunit ribosomal RNA
Source: RNAcentral